CCUACGGGAGGCAGCAGUAGGGAAUAUUGCUCAAUGGGGGAAACCCUGAAGCAGCAACGCCGCGUGGAGGAUGAAGGUUUUCGGAUUGUAAACUCCUUUUGUUAGAGAAGAUAAUGACGGUAUCUAACGAAUAAGCACCGGCUAACUCCGUGCCAGCAGCCGCGGUAAUACGGAGGGUGCAAGCUUUACCCGGAAUCCCUGGGCGUAAAGAGCGCGUAGGCGGGAUAGCAAGUCAGAUGUGAAAUCCUAUGGCUUAACCAUAGAACUGCAUUUGAAACUGUGAUUCUAGAGUAUGGGAGAGGUAGGUGGAAUUCUUGGUGUAGGGGUAAAAUCCGUAGAGAUCAAGAGGAAUACUCAUUGCGAAGGCGACCUGCUGGAACAUAACUGACGCUGAUGCGCGAAAGCGUGGGGAGCAAACAGGAUUAGAUACCCGGGUAGUC
This 440-nucleotide ribosomal RNA is filed under the name uncultured bacterium. Its description in RNAcentral is "partial 16S ribosomal RNA". It matches the Rfam family "Bacterial small subunit ribosomal RNA", at positions 338 to 795 of the family's 1533-position model. The record is from RNAcentral.